GACGAACGCUGGCGGCGUGCUUAACACAUGCAAGUCGAACGGAAAGGCCCCUUUGGGGGUACUCGAGUGGCGAACGGGUGAGUAACACGUGAGUAACCUGCCCUUGACUUCGGGAUAACUUCAGGAAACUGGGGCUAAUACCGGAUAGGAAUCCUUGCUGCAUGGUGGGGGUUGGAAAGCUUCGGCGGUUUUGGAUGGACUCGCGGCUUAUCAGCUUGUUGGUGGGGUAGUGGCUUACCAAGGCUUUGACGGGUAGCCGGCCUGAGAGGGCGACCGGCCACAUUGGGACUGAGAUACGGCCCAGACUCCUACGGGAGGCAGCAGUGGGGAAUAUUGCACAAUGGGCGGAAGCCUGAUGCAGCAACGCCGCGUGCGGGAUGACGGCCUUCGGGUUGUAAACCGCUUUCAGCAGGGGUGAAGCUUUUGUGACGGUACCUGCAGAAGAAGCACCGGCUAACUACGUG
This 464-nucleotide ribosomal RNA is filed under the name uncultured bacterium. Its description in RNAcentral is "partial 16S ribosomal RNA". It matches the Rfam family "Bacterial small subunit ribosomal RNA", at positions 28 to 507 of the family's 1533-position model. The record is from RNAcentral.